Long non-coding RNA from Anguilla rostrata (American eel), 751 nucleotides. RefSeq lists it as uncharacterized. Lineage: Eukaryota; Metazoa; Chordata; Actinopteri; Anguilliformes; Anguillidae. The transcript is spliced from 2 exons. The record is from RefSeq and is a predicted model, not a curated record.
UGAUUAUUAAUUUAUUAUUUUCCCCUUUUCCUUUCAUUUGAACAUCCAGAGAAGCAAAUUGGGCCCUGUACUUCCGGGAGGAACGACCGGGCUUGAACCCGCGACCUCGCGUUCCCGAGUCCUGCUCGCGCCCCCUUUUUCCUCUCCUCCCCCGCGAGCCCCUCCUUUCUCUACAGAGAAGAAUGAGCAGUGGCCUUUGCGCCUAAAACAGCGCCAUCUUCUCUGUUUCAAUUGUUUCAUUUGUUCCAAUUACACGGCCAAUCGGAGGCCGCCCUCGUUUCAAUUUCUCGAGCUUACAUGCUUUUUGCGCCCAAUCGGGAGGCCCGCUUGUUUCAAUUUCGUCACGUGGUAUCGACUCUCCCUUCCGCUGUUUCAAAUGGCACUUCAGGAAGUGCCGUGGAUCGCCCGAGUUCUGCGACAGGAGCUCUUUUUGGUGCUCUUGUUGCAAUUUUGCAGAGAUGAAGAGGAGGGCCGGCCGCAGCCAAAGCGGUCCUUCCUGCCUCCGAGGCCUGCCUCGCAAAGUUCUGAGGUGAGAUGGUGUAUCUUUAUUGUUUGUGUUUAACGCUGGCUUAAAAGAAGUUGACGCGAAACUAAUUGUAACACGUUCUCUUUAUUCUGCAGCUGCUGAUUCCUGAGUUGCCGUGCGGCCUUCUCGAGGGAACAGCGGGAGCGGAUUGGUCGGGCGCUGUAUGUAUUGUAUGAGAAAUGUACUGGAUCAAUAAACACGCACAGAUGAAGUGCUAAAAGCCAA